RNAcentral lists this ribosomal RNA (418 nucleotides) under uncultured bacterium. Its description in RNAcentral is "bacterial SSU rRNA". It matches the Rfam family "Bacterial small subunit ribosomal RNA", at positions 8 to 423 of the family's 1533-position model. The record is from RNAcentral.
AGAGUUUGAUCCUGGCUCAGGAUGAACGCUAGCGGCAGGCUUAAUACAUGCAAGUCGUGGGGCAGCGCAGGUAGCAAUACUGGGCGGCGACCGGCAAACGGGUGCGGAACACGUACACAACCUUCCGAUAAGUGGGGAUAGCCCAGAGAAAUUUGGAUUAAUACCCCGUAACAUAGCGAUGUGGCAUCACAUUGCUAUUAUAGCUUCGGCGCUUAUUGAUGGGUGUGCGGCUGAUUAGAUAGUUGGCGGGGUAACGGCCCACCAAGUCUACGAUCAGUAGCUGAUGUGAGAGCAUGAUCAGCCACACGGGCACUGAGACACGGGCCCGACUCCUACGGGAGGCAGCUGUAAGGAAUUUUGGUCAAUGGACGCAAGUCUGAACCAGCCAUGCCGCGUGAAGGAUUAAGGUCCUCUGGAU